RNA transcript from Schistocerca gregaria, 1022 nucleotides. It is a transcript of the gene named lipopolysaccharide-induced tumor necrosis factor-alpha factor homolog, with no coding region annotated. The record is from RefSeq and is a predicted model, not a curated record. Lineage: Eukaryota; Metazoa; Arthropoda; Insecta; Orthoptera; Acrididae. The transcript is spliced from 5 exons.
AGUAUCUAGUGCUCAUAUGGACUGGAAACUCCAUCGCUCAACAACAUCGUAACUGUGCAGAUGUUAGCGAACUUUCUGAAUGUCACUCAGUAAUGGGCGUAUUCUAAUAGUGGCAACUAAAUUCCAACGAUUAAACCAGUAACCAGCACGAAUUUAAUUUUGUUCUGUGUGCCUCAAGCAGCAGAUCAGGACCUGGCGUGUGGAUACGUGGACGCAAACUGGAUAGUCCACGCUGACAGGUGUAGCCCACUCUGCUUCGCAGUUGCAACUGCACAAACAAUAUCAGAAUGGGAAAAUCCGAGGACAGUAUGCCACAGCCAGCAUCAAAGGACACAGCAGGAACUGGUUAUGAUGCGGCAGGGGAUCCAGUUAGAAAGCCACACAGUGAGGCACCAACUGGAAACGUCACUGCAGAAGAUCCUCUAAUACCCGGCGGCAUGAUGAAGGUCCCACUGACGCUGGGGCCUGAGUCGUGCACCGUCGUAUGUCCAGCGUGUUACCAAACCAUCCAGACACACGUGGAGGUCAAAACAACAUCCGAGACAAACGUACUUUCUAUCCUAUGCGAUCUCAUUUCGUGCUGCUGCUGUUGCUGUAUGCUGUUUCUAUGGUUUGAAGACGACCAUCAUGACCACUCUGUCGACUCCUGCUGUUGCCCUGAUUGUGAGGACAGCUAUACGGAUACCCAUGAAGUGAGGCAACACUACUGCCCCAACUGUAAAGCUUUCAUUGGGGCUUACGAGAAAUAGCUGUCCAAUGAGUCCACUUGUUCAAUACUCUGUUGCUGUGAGCUGAACGAACCAGCUCGAGUAUAAACUCCGUCCACGGCACCCACAAAAAAUACACUCCAUCUAUUUGAUGCUUUGAACUAACAGUGAAGAUUUACUUCGAUUUAUAACCAUCAAAUCGCCGAAGUACCAAAAGUGUUAUGUUAGUACAGUUGCAGAUUUUCUUUUUCUAAGUUUACCAAUACAUGUUCCACUGUGUAAUGCAAGACAAGAAAUAAAAGAUGGAAAAUGUCA